Molecule: long non-coding RNA, 4757 nt
Filed under: Heterocephalus glaber (naked mole-rat)
Lineage: Eukaryota; Metazoa; Chordata; Mammalia; Rodentia; Bathyergidae
Description: lncRNA (ENSHGLG00000043148.1)
Source: RNAcentral
AUUUGCUAUUUCUACUUCUUUGUCUGAGAAAUGUCUGUUCAUUUCAGAUGCCCAUUUUUGGAUUGGGUCUUUAAAUUUGGGAGGUCUGAUCUUUUUAAGUUCUUUAUAGAUUCGAGAUAGUAGACCUUUGUCUGAGGAAGAGCAGGUGAAGAUUUUUUCCCACAUUGUGGGUUGUCUCUUCACACUGCUGGUGGUUUCUCUUGCUGUGCAGAAGCUUUUUAAUAAGAAGAGAUCCCACCUGUUGAUUGUUUGUGCUAGUUCAUGGGCAACUGAGGUUUUGUUCAUAAAAUCGUUUCCUACACUGAUGUCUUCAAGAGUUCUACCUAACCUCUGUUCCAACUGGUUCAGAGUUUCUAAUUUAAUAUUUAGAUCUUUAAUCCAUUUCAAUUUUAGUUUAGUGCAUAGCAAGAGAUAUGGGUCUAGUUUUAAUCUUUGGCAAGUUGAAGCCCAAUUUUUCCAGCACCAUUUAUUAAAGAGGCUAUCUUUCCUCCAGUGAGGGUGUUUGGCUCCUUUAUCGAAGAUGAGAUGGCUGAGUGUGUCUGGCAUUGUUUCUGCAUCUUCUAAUCUGUUCCACUGGUCCUCAGGUCUAUUUCUUUGCCAGUACCUGCUGUUUUUUUUUUUUUUUAUCACAGUAGCUUUGUAGUAUAGUUUCAGGUUGGGGAUUGUGAUACCCGCUGCCAUGUCUCUGUUACUUAGUAUUGCUUUUGCUAUUCUGGGUCUCUUCUUGUUCCAAAUGAAUUUUUGGAUUGUUUUCUCAAGGUCCAUGAAGUAUGCUGCUGGGAAUUCAAUUGAGAUUGCAUUGAAUCUAUAUAGCAGUUUUGGAAGUAUGGCCAUUUUCACUAUAUUAAUCCUUCCUACCAAGGAGCAGGGGAUGUCUGUCCAUUUUCUGAUAUCAUCUUCAAUCUCUCUUUUCAGAGUGCUAUAGUUUUCAGAGAAGAGGGCUUUGAUUUCUUUCGUUAGGUUGAUUCCUAGAUGUUUCAGUUUUUUGGAUGCUAUUAUGAAAGGAAUUAUUUGCCCUAUUUCUCUCUCAGUGAGUUUUUCAUUUGAGUAGAGGAAAGCUAUUGAUUUUUGUGUGUUGACCUUGUAAGAAUCUACUUGACUGAAUUUGAUUAUUAAGUCUAGAAGACUUUUGGUGGAGUUCUUGGAGUCCUCUAUAUAGAGUAUCAUGUCAUCUGCAAAUAAUGACAAUUUGACUUCUUCAUUUCCUAUCUUUAUUCCUUUUAUUUCUUUUUCUUGUCUAAUUGCCAUGGCUAAUGUUUCCAGAACUAUAUUGAACAAGAGUGGUUAUAGUGGACAUCCUUGUCUUGUGCCUGAUUUUAGUGUGAAGGAUUUCAGUUUUUGACUAUUUAGUAUGAUAUUGGCUGUUGAUUUUUCAUAGAUGGCUUUUAUCAGAUUGAGGUAGAGACCAUCUAUUCCAAUUUUUUGUAGGGUUUUUAUCAUAAAUGCAUGUUGGAUUUUGUCAAAUGCUUUUUCUGCAUCUAUGGAGAUAAUCAUAUGAUUUUUGUCCUUGGCUCUAUUGAUAUAGUGUAUUACAUUGAUUGAUUUUCGUAUAUUGAACCAUCCCUGCAUCCCUGGGGUGAAUCCCACUUGAUCAGGGUUUACGAUCUUCUUGAUGUUCUUCUGCAUUCUGUUUGCCAGUAUCUUAUUAAAGAUUUUUGCUUCUAUGUUCAUUAGUGAGAUUGGCUUAUAGUUCUCCUUUUCGGUUGGGUCUUUCUGUGCUUUGGGGAUCAAGGUGAUACUUGCUUCCAGGAAUGAAUUUGGGAGUAUUGCUUCCCUUUCAAUUUCAUUAAAGAGUUUAAACAGUAGUGACAGCAGUUCCUCUCUAAAUGUCUUGUAGAAUUCAGCAGUGAAGCCAUCAGGGCCCGGGCUUUUCUUAGUUGAUAAGUUUUUAAUUACAUUUUCAAUUUCAUUGGUUGAUAUUGGGUUGUUCAGAAGUUUUAGGUCUUCUUUGUUUAACUUUGGUAAUUCAUAUGUAUCUAGGAAUCUGUCCAUUUCCUCUGUGUUGUCCAUCUUUUUGGCAUACAGGUUCUGGAAGUAAGUAUUGAUGAUCCUCUGGAUUUCUGCUGGGUCUGUUGUCAUUUCACCCUUUUCAUUCCUAAUUGCAUGGAUUUGGGCCUUUUCUUUCCUUUUUCUGACAAGGUUGGCUAAAGAUUUGUCAAUUUUGUUGAUUCUUUCGAAGAACCAACUCUUGGCUUCGUUGAUUUUUUGUAUCAUUCUCUUAGUCUCCAUUGCGUUGAUGUCUCCUCUGAUCUUUAUAAUUUCCUCCCUUGUAUGAGCUUUGGGGUUGUCCUGCUCUUCUUUUUCUAGAAGCUUGAGGUUCAGCCUCAGGUUGUUUAAUUGGGCUUGUUCUGUUUUCCUAAUAUGCAUAUUCACUGCUAUGAAUUUCCCUCGUAAGACUGCUUUCAUUGUGUCCCAUAGAUUCCGAUAUGUUGUAUUGUCAUUGUCAUUUCAUUGAAGGAACUGUCUGAUUUCUUAAUUUCCUCUGUGACCCAUUGGUUAUUCAGAAGUGUGUUGUUCAAUUUCCACGUGUUUAUGAAAUUUUUUGAGUUUCUUUUGCUGUUGAUCUCCAAUUUCAUGGCACUAUGGUCUGGUAAUAUACAGGGGAUAACUUCAAUUCCUUUGCACUUACUUAAACAUGUUGUAUGUGUGAGUACGUGGUCUGUUUUAGAGAAUGACCCAUGUGCAGCUGAGAAGAAUGUGUAUUCUGAUUUUGUGGGGUGGAAGACUCUGUAAACAUCUGUUAAGUUCAUUCAUUCAAGAGUUUGAUUGAGUUCUAGUAUUUCAUUACUUAUUUUUAGUCUAGUUGAUCUAUCUAUUUGUGACAGUGGGGUGUUGAGUUCCCCCACUACAAUUGUAUUAGUGCAUAUAUGACUUUUCAUGUCCGUUAGUAUUUGUUUUAUAUAGUUGGGUGCAAUAGUGUUUGGUGCAUAGAUAUUUAUGAUUGUCAUCUCUUCCUCUUGGAUUCUUCCCUUUACAAGGAUGUAGUGUCCUUCUUCAUCUCUCUUAAUCAGUGUUGGUUUGAAAUCUACUUGAUCUGCCAAGAGGAUAGCUACUCCCGCUUUUUUGCGGGUUGCUGUCGCAUGGAGUAUUGUUUUCCACCCUUUAACUUUCAGUCUAUGAGUUUCCUUUUGAAUGAAGUGAUCCUCAAUGUCUGUUCCUAGGAUAUUGUGUAAAAUUCUUUGGAGUGCUGGUUUGGUAUUCACGAAAUUCCUAAGGUGCUCUUUGUCAUGAAAGUAUCUUAUUUCUCCAUCCAGUUUGAAAGAUAGUUUUGCAGGGUACAUCAAUCUGGUUUGGAGGCUGUUUUCUUUUAGGGCUUGGAAUAUGUCACUCCAAGAUCUUCUUGCCUUGAUGGUUUGUGUUGAGAAGUUUGCUGUGAUUCUGAUGGGCUUUCCUUUGUAUGUGAUUUGUUUCUUUUCUCUAACUGCUUGUAGAACUUUGUUCUUCUGUUGUGUUUCUGGAAUCUUAACAAUUAUAUGCCUAUGUGUAGAUUUUUUUUGAUCAAGGCUAUUUGGAGUCCUAUAUGCCUCACUUUUUUGUAUGUCAAGCUCUUUUCCCUUGCUUGGGAAGUUUUCUGCCAUUAUUUCUGUGAAGAGAUUUUUUUAUGUCAUCUGCACCCUCUCCUGUUUCUUCAUUGAGCCCAAUCAGUCUUAUGUUAUUCUUUUUUGCAUCAUCUUGGAGCUGCUGGAUUGAUUUCUCAUGUUCCCUUAUAAUUUUGAAGCAAUUUUUCUUUUCCUGGUCACUAAUUGCAAUCUUAUCUUCUAUAUCUGAAAUUCUGUCCUCACAUUGGCUCAUUCUGCUGUGUAGACUUUCAAUGGAGUUUUUCAUGUCCUGGAAAUCUAUUUGCAUCUGUUUUAUGGAUUCCAUUUGUUUCUUAUGUUGGGAUUCCAUCAUGUUCCUGAGCUCCUCUCUAGAUUUAUUAAUCAUGUCUUGCACUAGGGGCACAAUUUCUCCUGUUAUCUGAGAAAUUAUUUCUGAUUUCAUUUUUUCCAGAUCUUCUUUUGUUGCCAGUUCAUUGGGUCCAGGUGAUUGGGUAUCAGAGUGUUCCAUCUUAUUUCCCUUUGGGGUUGCUGUAGGUGAUCUGGACAUCUGGUUUUGAGACUUAUUUACAUGUUUUCUCAUUUUCACUGGGGCGAGGGGCUGUUAGCACCUGCAGGGAUUACCUCCUCUGAGCUGAGAGAGGUGGGACAGGGGCUGGGAGCAGCGGUAGGGAUGAUGACCCAAAAGCCCUUUCCUGUGGGCUGGGAGCAGCCGGAGCAAUGGUGGCUGGGAACCCCCUUCCUCUGGACUAGGAGCUGUGGGAUGGUGGCUCAGAAGUCCCUCCAUCUGGGCCGGGAGCGGUGGGAGGGAUGGUGGCCUGGAAGCCCCUUCUUCUGGGCCAGGAGCAGCAGGACACAAGGUGGCCCAAAAGCCCUUUCCUCUGGGCUGGGAGCAUUGGGAGUGAUGGUGACCAGGAAUCCCCUUCCUCUGGACCAGGAGCAGUGGGACGAUGGCUCAGAAGCCCCUACCUCUGGGCCGGGCACAGUAGGACUCAGUUCCUUGCCCUGGUGGUCUGGUGUCCUCUGGGUCUUUGUAGUGUGGAAUCAGGUGGCUGCCUGUCUGCAGCGGGGUGAUUCGGUGUCUUCCCCGUGACUCAGGACCUUGGUAGGGCAGGCACAGACCUGCCUGUCUGCAGCGGGCCACUUUUCAUUUUCUUAACAAUGCCAUUUAAAGUUCUAAAUUUUGAUGGAAUCUCAUUUAUCAAUUUUUUUCUUUUAUAC